Non-coding RNA from Acanthosepion pharaonis, 101 nucleotides. Lineage: Eukaryota; Metazoa; Mollusca; Cephalopoda; Sepiida; Sepiidae. The record is from the annotation of a GenBank genome assembly.
CAACAUCACAUUGAAACACCAGUUCCUUUACAAUCACCGAAGUUGAGCAACAUUGAGCCUGAUCUGUACCUAGAUGGGUGACCACUUGGGAAUACCCUGUG